This 271-nucleotide long non-coding RNA is filed under the name Vitis vinifera (wine grape). Its description in RNAcentral is "long non-coding RNA (VVIN_LNC000387)". Lineage: Eukaryota; Viridiplantae; Streptophyta; Magnoliopsida; Vitales; Vitaceae. The record is from RNAcentral.
GAGCUUCUCGACUGCACCAGUUUCUCACCAUGGUGCACCUCCAAAUCCAAACCCCACCUCACAACAAACCCAACCAACCCCACACGAGGCCCCCGCCGCCACCACUCUUCCGAUGUCCCCCACCAUCCUCUCGACCCCCUCACGGUCCAAGAAAUCAACCGCGUCCGUACAAUCCUCUCUUCCCACGCGCCGCUCAAAGCAUCGAAGAGGUAUACGAUUCACGCCGUUGACCUGGAGGAGCCGGCGAAGCCACUCGUCCUCCGGUGGAAGA